Non-coding RNA from Paramuricea clavata, 1045 nucleotides. The record is from the annotation of a GenBank genome assembly. Lineage: Eukaryota; Metazoa; Cnidaria; Anthozoa; Malacalcyonacea; Plexauridae.
GGUUGUUCAAAAUCCAGUUAGCUUAAUCUUAGGUUAACGAAAUACCUCAAAGCAAUCGUCCUAUAACGGUUUCUUUAUAAACGUGGAGUAUUUUCCAAAAAUCAUGUCUACAUUAAUAGAAGUACUCUUUUCUAACGUUUUGAAAUCAACGGAUUUGAAGAUGUAUACCCAGACCAAAACAGCCGGUUAAAUUAUAACCCAGGGUUAUAGCGCUAAUCCAGCUUUGAACAACCUGGUCCCGGACAAACGAGGAUAAGAGGGAUACAUGAGAGUUGGCAGUCUUGGAAUUGUUACAGGGGACAUUUCAAACUCUAGAUUAACAAAAUAAACGUUUGAUGAGUAUCCUUAUAAUUAUAUACUAUGUGUUGGGAAAACAUUAAGAACAGCUAUAACCCACCAACUCUCAUGCAUGCGCUCUCAUUCUCGUUCGAUCCGGGCUUUCAAGGCUUCAACAAACCAAACUUGUUGAUGAGUUGAAUUGUGCAAAGUAUGUCGCAAAAGUCAAAUGCAUUCUUUUUUCAUGCGCACGUUUUCGAUUUAAAACUAUACUAUAUAAGCAUGUAUGGAGAAAAAUAUCAAUUAAAGGGUGCCUGGUUGAACCGGUUAAACGGGUUAAACGAGGCGUUCGGCUUCACACAAGUUUUCUUUACGAAACAAUUUCACUGUAAAUAAAUACUUGGACGAACUGUUUAACCGAGACAUCAUGCACUCGAGUCAUGCAAACCGGGUCGCCCGAUCUGGCGGGCUGAAAUUUAUCAGAGCAAAUUAGUCACAUAACUGUAUGAACAGCCUCAAAGAUAAGUGACUUUUUUUCUCGAUGCGUACUUCCACUCUAAGGGGUCUGUCAUGGCAGUUCAAAGCGUACGAGAUUUUGAAAUCAAUUUAUUUCUGAACUGAUUUCCUGAUUUUCGACUGAUUUCAACAUUUCCUGAAGAUACCAGUUACAGCAUUUCUAGUGCAUUUGAAUGCCUGAAAAUAAGUUUGUGAAAACAAAAUAUUGUUAUAGUUACAAACCAUCGUCUGAAAUAUGCAAAAGUGAAAAGGC